RNAcentral lists this ribosomal RNA (1045 nucleotides) under uncultured Eubacteriales bacterium. RNAcentral's name for it is "bacterial SSU rRNA". It matches the Rfam family "Bacterial small subunit ribosomal RNA", at positions 336 to 1397 of the family's 1533-position model. Lineage: Bacteria; Bacillati; Bacillota; Clostridia; Eubacteriales. The record is from RNAcentral.
CUCCUACGGGAGGCAGCAGUGGGGAAUAUUGCGUAAUGGGGGAAACCCUGACCCAGCCACGCCGCGUGAAGGAAGAAGGUUUUCGGAUCGUAAACUUCUAUCCUAGGUGAAGAUAAUGACGGUGGCCUAAAAGGAAUCCCCGGCUAACUACCUGCCAACAGCCGCGGUAAUACUUAGGGGGCAAGCGUUGUCCGGAAUGAUUGGGGGUAAAGGGCGCGUAAGCGGCCAACUAAAUCGGGAGUGAAAGUCCUGCUUUUAAGGUGAGAAUUGCUUUGGAAACUGGAUGGCUUGAGUGCAUGAGAGGUUAGUGGAAUUCCCGGUGUAGCGGUGAAAUGCAUAUAGAUCGGGAGGAACACCAGUGGCGAAGGCGACUAAAUGGGCUGUAACUGACGCUGACGCGCGAAAGUGUGGGGAGCAAACAGGAUUAGAUACCCUGGUAGUCCACACUGUAAACGAUGAGUGCUACGUGUAUGGGGUAUCGACCCCUUCUGUGCCGGAGUAAACACAAUAAUCAUUCCGCUUGGGGAGUACGGCCGCAAGGUUGAAACUCAAAGGAAUUGACGGGGGCCCCCCCAAGCAGCGGACCAUGUGGUUUAAUUGGAAGCAACGGGAAGACCCUUCCCAGGUCUUGCCAUCCAUUAAAAACCGUAGAGAUACGGUGUGAGCUUGCUAGUUAUGAGACAGGUGGUGCAUGGUUGUCGUCAGCUCGUGUCGUGAGAUGUUGGGUUAAGUCCCGCAACGAGCGCAACCCUUGUGAUCAGUUACUAACACGUAGAGGUGAGGACUCUGAUAAGACUGCCGGGGACAACUCGGAGGAAGGUGGGGACGACGUCAAAUCAUCAUGCCCCUUAUGACUUGGGCUACACACGUGCUACAAUGGCCUCUACAGAGAGAAGCGAAUUCGAGAGGACGAGCGGAUCUCAAAAAAGUGGUCCCAGUUCGGAUUGUGGUCUGCAACCCGCCCACAUGAAGUCGGAGUUGCUAGUAAUCGCGGAUCAGCAUGCCGCGGUGAAUACGUUCCCGGGCCUAUGUACACACCGCCCGU